CCUACGGGAGGCUGCAGUGGGGAAUAUUGCACAAUGGGGGAAACCCUGAUGCAGCGACGCCGCGUGAGUGAAGAAGUAUCUCGGUACGUAAAGCUCUAUCAGCAGGGAAGAAAAUGACGGUACCUGACUCAGAAGCCCCGGCUAACUACGUGCCAGCAGCCGCGGUAAUACGUAGGGGGCAAGCGUUAUCCGGAUUUACUGGGUGUAAAGGGAGCGUAGACGGCAGCACAAGUCUGGAGUGAAAUACCGGGGCUGAACCCCCGCACUGCUUUGGAAACUGUGCGGCUGGAGUGCAGGAGGGGUAAGCGGAAUUCCUAGUGUAGCGGUGAAAUGCGUAGAUAUUAGGAGGAACACCGGUGGCGAAGGCGGCUUACUGGACUGUAACUGACGUUGAGGCUCGAAAGCGUGGGGAGCAAACAGGAUUAGAUACCCCAGUAGUC
Molecule: ribosomal RNA, 440 nt
Filed under: uncultured bacterium
Lineage: Bacteria
Description: partial 16S ribosomal RNA
Rfam family: Bacterial small subunit ribosomal RNA
Source: RNAcentral